GUAGGUGAACCUGCGGAAGGAUCAUUGUCGAUACCUGGCCCAAAAAGAGAGACCCGUGAACAAGUUACAUAAUGAGCAAGGCGAAGGGUGUGGGGGUGUGACAGUCCCUUCCUCCCAGACCCUUGUAAGGUUUGAUCCGCGGACCUCCGUGGCAUUAGACCUAUAAAAACAAAUCCACCGGCGCGGUUGGCGCCAAGGAACUCACAACGGAAUGAGCGUGCCAUCGCCCGUGCCUAUGGUGGCAUGGUGUGUGCGUCGUCUUAAGUCCGAAUAUUCAUUAACGACUCUCGGCAACGGAUAUCUCGGCUCUCGCAUCGAUGAAGAACGUAGCGAAAUGCGAUACUUGGUGUGAAUUGCAGAAUCCCGUGAACCAUCGAGUCUUUGAACGCAAGUUGCGCCCUAGGCCAUCCGGCCGAGGGCACGCCUGCCUGGGCGUCACGUAUCGUGUCAACCCCCACUCUGUCGAUCCUUAUAGCGACGGAGCGUGGGAUGGAGAUUGGCCCCCCGUGCCGCCCCAUUGUUUUGUGGUCGAGGUGCGGUCGGCCCAAAGAAAGACAAGUCCCCUUGUGCGGCGAUCGUCGUGACGGGUGGUGGUCGAAAGCCACUUUGCCAUCAGUUCGGACGUCGUGUACGAUUCUUGCCCUCAUUGGGGCUAUUGUGUUGACCCUGAUCAUUUGUCGUCCAAGGAUGGCAUUUCGACCGCGACCCCAGGUCAGGCGGGGCUACCCGCUGAG
Molecule: ribosomal RNA, 734 nt
Filed under: Hollandaea riparia
Lineage: Eukaryota; Viridiplantae; Streptophyta; Magnoliopsida; Proteales; Proteaceae
Description: eukaryotic LSU rRNA
Rfam family: 5.8S ribosomal RNA (bases 283-438)
Source: RNAcentral